This 21-nucleotide ribosomal RNA is filed under the name Ophiostoma karelicum. Its description in RNAcentral is "partial 18S ribosomal RNA". Lineage: Eukaryota; Fungi; Ascomycota; Sordariomycetes; Ophiostomatales; Ophiostomataceae. The record is from RNAcentral. RNAcentral also lists the same sequence under 2 other names.
UGACCAGCGGAGGGAUCAUUA